GUGCUAUAAAAGAAUGAGUUAGCUGGUUGAGAAGAGAGCAGCAAUGUGUUGGUUGUGCUGUGAAGUAGGAGCUUCCCUGUGCUGUGAGGAGCUGUCCAUGAGCAGUCACUGAGAAGGUUAUUCUGCUGCUGAGAGAGCAGCAGCAUGUUGGCUGAACACAUUCCAAGUCCUUUCUCCUCCUCUUUAGAGCACACUUGCCAUUCCUCCUAUUGCUUCUAAAAAGAACAAUUUGCAGGCAUUUAGACCCAUUCAAAGGAUCAAGCCAGUAGCUUCAGAGAAGUAUAAGUUGGAGCUAAAGUGAAAAGGUUUGAGUCUUGUGGAAGUCAUAGGAACACUUUCAUUGGGUCUGAUCUCCAAGAAACUGAAGGUCCUUAACAGGAUGACAAGUAUCAUCAAAAAGCUAUUACUGAUAUAAACAUAAAAAAGAAGCCCUAUUUUUUAUUUCAUCACUUUAAUAGAAAAAGGGAAACAUACAAACUGAUUUGCUCAUCCAGAUGGAAUUCAAGACAAAGCUACCAUGUAGAGUUCAGUUUGAUACAGGACCUUAGUGAAAUUGUUUUGGAAGCUGCUCCUUGCCUCCUGAAAUGAAAUGCUGCUUGCUCAGAUCAUUACUACAUCAGUCUGCAUGGUCGUAGCAAAACAGUGGAUGGGAAGUUUAGGUAUGAGCUUGGACUUGAUACUCUUAGAUCCAUCUAUUAAGGAUUCAGAAGACUGAUUUCUUUCUCAUUGGAAACCAUAAUUUUCUUUAUCAUGGAGGAAACUUCUUCUGAAGAAGACAAGUUACUCAAAUGCUUCUUUACGAUUCCCAUGAUCUGGGCAAGAAGAAAGAUCCAGGGAACUUCAGGCUGGUCAGCUCCACCUCAAGCCCUAGGAAGGUGGAAUGCUGACAGCCUUUUGAGGAAGGUGAUUUUUGCACUCUGCUCAGCACUGGUAUUUAUGCAUAUUGAGCCUUCUCUUCUCUCGGCUGAACAAUCCCAGCUCUAUCAGCCUCUCAUAUGUCAGAUGCUUCAAUCCCUUGGCCAUCUCCAUCACACUUUGCUGGACAUAGUCCAGGAUGUUUGUGUCACUUCUGAACUGGAAAACCAAGAACUGAGCACAAUAUUCCACAUGUAUGUCACCAGAGCUGAGUAGGGGGGAAGAAUCACUUCUCCUGGACUGCUGACAACCCUCUGCCUAAUGCAGCGCAGGAUCCCAGGAUGCUGAUGGCUUUCAUGGCUGCAACAGCAUAUUGUGGACUCAUCAUCACCUUGUUAUCUGACAGGGCUCAUAGCUUUUUAGUUUUUUGGGUUUGUUUUGUUGGUUUGGUUUUUUUUGCAAUGCUGCUUUCCAACAUGUGCAUAAGGUGAAAAUGGUUGUGUAAAUUUUCAGUCGUUACUCAGACUGCCAACAUUGCCAUGUGCACCUGAAGAUGGAGACAGUCAGUACUGAGCACAAGUCAUAGUUACAUCUGCACUAAUACACACAAAAACUAGUCACCUUUUUUCUUCUGAUUGUGAAAUUCAUAUGGCUAAACCCUUUUAACCUCCAAAAUAGGGUGUUUCAUUAUUUAUUGAGAAAAGGGUCUUUCCUGUAUUAAAUAACAGACAAGGGAUCCUUCCAUUUUAAAAAACAUAGAUUACUUCAUUAGUACUGUGUCUUAUGUAUAUAUAUAUACACACACACACACCUAUAAAACAUAGUUUAAAGCCUUUAAUGAGAAUAUCUUGCCUGGUAAAUGCUGAGUCACACUAGUAAAGCAUCACUGAAUCAGUCAUCUGAUAUGUUUUCCUGAUAGAGUUCUAUGCAAAGAAAACAUAUUAGCUCUGGACUUAGAAACAGCAUGGCUAUGUCAUCAAACGAUGCACAUAGGCAAAUUGAGUCUGCUGGCAGGGACUAUAAGAUGCAAGCAGACAAUAGUCAGUCUUCUAUGAGGCUGUUACCAGCUCUCUGUGCCUGCACAUGUACAAACAUUUCCACCUACUGAAGAAAAAUUCAGCUCUGGAAUAUGUUAGGCUGAAAAAUUAAUGGAAUCCAGAAUGUGUUUGUGUGCUUAGGAUAUAUGCAUUAGUAACAUGUACAGAUUGAAAUCAACAUUAUAUCAGACAAUAACAUUGCAGAGACUUUAUUCAAUAUUAUUUGUGCUAUAUAAAAUAGAAAAGAAAAAGAGGAAGGCAAGAAGGAAGGAAGAACACCUGCUGUUCUGGAGAGAGAUCCUCAUUGCAGAGCUCAUGAUACAGUAAAUAACAGUAAUUUCUCAGCAGAAAUAACAGAUGUCUAAAGUCUAGAUUGUAAAAUAAAUACAUACAUUCAAUCAUGCACUAAUUUAGUAGAAAGGUUGCUCAGGUUGUCUAUUCCAUCCUUUGCUCAAAGAAAGUGCAAUUAGAACCAUAUUCUCAGCCUUAGACAAAUUUUGGUCACCUUCAAAGAUUGUAACUCAAAGCGAACUUGACAGACAGAACAUUACUGCAGAAGUGAGUCAAAGUCCCAUCUAAUCAAGGAUUGUUUACAUCAAUAAAAUAAGAAUCACAUCCUUUCCAGGUAAUAGGAAACAGCUGCAAUAACUCAAAGAUAUCAAGUUUGUAAGGAUUCUUAAUGAGGAGUCAAAAUUUAAAAAAAGAUCAAAAAAAAGACCAAAAACACAGUAAAGAAAAAUAAUAAAUAAAAUCCUAAUGGCUGGAGAUGACAGAUAAUAUUAAAGCUGAAAUGUAUUGUGUUGCUGAAUUCUGGGCUAUUGAGGAACACAUUCAUUCAUAGAUAGGCUUGACAAUACUCAGCCUUAAGUUUGUAGGUGGUAAGACAAGUGAAACAAGAUGUUCAUGAGUCUCAUUGGAAAGUAUCCUCAUAUUAUGGGAUAUUUGAGAGGGCAUGUGGAGUUGUGCAAAACAUAUUGUAGGAUUUUUAGUGGAAGGGCCAAAGAUAAGGAAAGGGAAGUACAGGCCUGAAUGACUGGAGAGAAUGGCUACAGAAGAGUUCAUCUGGGUGCAAGCCAGCAGCUGGUCAGAUUGUCCUGCACAUUACUUUAUAGUCUGCCCACUCUUAUUUAAUUCUGUUCCAAACUGUUAGCUGUCCAAUGCUAAUGCCUAAUCUGUAUGAAUGUGCAUCAGAGAUUCGUUGAAAAACUUCAGCCUGCAGCAGCUGAGAGUAGGUUAAACCAGCACCUGAAAAGAUCAAUUUUCAAAUACUCAAAAGAUACUUAAAUUGUGAAUCUGAUACAAAAUAGUGAAUGAGGUGAACAGAAAUAACUCUUUUGGGGAGAGAGGAGGGGAGGAGGAGGCAGGGGGGAGAGAGACAGAGAGAGGGAAGAGCACAAACUUUGGUUUAGGUGUCUUAGACAUGAAACACCAAUUCAUCCAUCUGAGUGUGGUCUUCCUUUUUCCACCAUAACAUUCUGCUACUGCAGCGCAGAAUCUGAAACACAAUAGUUCUCAGUCUUUUCCUACUUCUGCUUCCUAACCAGGUCUUCCCAUUUCACACUGCCUAACUAAAAUAUAUACUUGUCAGUGAUUAAUUUUAGCAUGUUUUUUCCCAGGCCAUAGCUCCUGUUUGUCAAGAUAAUUUUAAUUUUAUCCCUGGUUUGCUCUUAAAUUUCAAUAACUAUACUCACUCUUCCAUUAUAUUGCUCAUUAAUAUCAAUAUUCAAUUAUAUUCAACUCUGAACAGAUGUCAUCAAAACCUCUUUGAUGUCUCCAAUGCUAAAAAUAAAUACUGUUUGGGGUUUAACAAAGUUGGAGACUGGUAGAUCUAGCUAUCUCAACACUGUUAUAGCAGAAGGAAAAAGCAAACUUAUUGACAAUAUACCACAAUAUAUUUUUUUUAUAUAUAUUAGC
Molecule: long non-coding RNA, 3806 nt
Organism: Passer domesticus (house sparrow)
Lineage: Eukaryota; Metazoa; Chordata; Aves; Passeriformes; Passeridae
Exons: 6
Source: RefSeq, a predicted model, not a curated record